Molecule: ribosomal RNA, 269 nt
Filed under: uncultured prokaryote
Description: partial 16S ribosomal RNA
Rfam family: Bacterial small subunit ribosomal RNA
Source: RNAcentral
UACGUAGGUGGCGAGCGUUGUCCGGAAUUACUGGGUGUAAAGGGCGUGUAGGCGGGGAAGCAAGUCAGAUGUGAAAUCCCGGGGCUCAACUCCGGAGUUGCAUCUGAAACUGUUUUUCUUGAGUGCUGGAGAGGAAAGCGGAAUUCCUAGUGUAGCGGUGAAAUGCGUAGAUAUUAGGAGGAACACCAGUGGCGAAGGCGGCUUUCUGGACAGUAACUGACGCUGAGGCGCGAAAGCGUGGGGAGCAAACAGGAUUAGAUACCCGCGUA